Molecule: RNA transcript, 1620 nt
Organism: Anguilla rostrata (American eel)
Lineage: Eukaryota; Metazoa; Chordata; Actinopteri; Anguilliformes; Anguillidae
Gene: mettl21e
Gene name: methyltransferase like 21e
Exons: 4
Source: RefSeq, a predicted model, not a curated record
AACAGAAUAGGGCAGAGGCUGGCCAUGACACAUGAGGGAGUAAAAUGUAGAAGCCUAAUCUCUAUCAAUCUCAGGCCUGCUAUCAGCAUAAAAUAAUAAGCACUUAAUCCAGCACAGUGAAAGAACAAUUAAUCCAGCCGUGCCGUGAUUUGGGUCUCUCUAACACCACAACAGUCUCAGAAGCAUGGAGUACAAACUUGCAAGUGACAGUGUUGACUAGUACUCGUGCUCGCUGGAAAAACCCCCAGUCCUCUGUUCAGUUGCUUCAUAUCAGUACACAGAUGGGCGCCCUGAGGGAGUAUCUGUUGAGUACACUCUAUUUACAGAGCGGGCUCCUGGUAAUAGCCGAAGCUGCAUUAACCCCUUCGGUGCCGUCUGCUUGUGCAUGUGCGCAUAAUUGCCUCUCGCAACAAUUACGGUCUGGAGCAGCUGCGGCUGCGGGGGUGGAGCUGGCGGAAGCCAUAAUGCGGCGGCGCUUCUUCCCCUCCCUCAUCACCACGGAGGCGUGGGAGGGCUUCACCUUCGCCGACCUCGAGAUCCGCAUCAAGGAGUCCACCGACUGCUACGGAGCCAUGCUGUGGCCCUCGGCUCUGGUGCUCUGUCACUUCCUGGACACAAACCAAGAUGAAUACAACUUAACUGACAAGAAUGUCAUUGAGCUGGGUGCCGGAACUGGACUUGUAACCACUGUGGCCAGCCUGCUGGGGGCAAAGGUCACUUCCACUGACCUCCCAGAUGUACUGGGGAACCUUCAGUACAACGUCAGCCGUAACACUAGGGGGCGCUGCAAGCACACGCCGCAGGUGACUAAGCUCAUCUGGGGACAGGACCUGGAGGAGCGGUUCCCCCGCGCUUCCUGUCACUUUGACUACAUCCUGGCGGCGGAUGUGGUGUAUGCGCACCCUUAUCUCAACGAGCUGAUGGACACGUUCGAGCACCUGUGCCAGGACCAGACGGUGAUUCUGUGGGCAAUGCGAUUUCGCCUGGAUCCCGAGAACAGCUUUGUGGAGCGCUUCCAGCAACACUUCCACUUGGAGCUCAUCUAUGACUUGCCCAGCCUCAGCAUAAAGCUGUAUCGAGCCAACAGGAAGGGGAGGAGCUUUAAGACCAGCUCAGGUGCUGCUGCCUGAAUCAUGCCCAGGAAGAAGAGAAACCACAGCAUCGUAGCCUUUUAUCUAAAGGUUCACAAGCUGGGCUCGCACAGACAGGAGUCAGAGGAAGACCCUUCAUAUGCGGCUCAACAGGCAGGCUUCCAAUCAACCAGCAGGAGCCACUAGCGAGCAAUGAGUCACUGUAUUCCUGGCUGACAGAAACCCUCCUACCCCGGACAACACAGGAGUCAACUGUACAGCACCCUCUCAUGGGGCUGCCUGUACUGGUUCGGAUUCGGUUCCGGAUUCAGACUGUGGGGCCAAUCCGCACGCCAUAACGGUCCCAUAACAGCACGAGCCAUCCAGCAAAUCCUUACACAAGUUUACAGGUCACUGGCCACACUGUGUGUGUGUGUGUGUGUGUGUGCGUGUGUGUGUGCGUGUUGGUGAUGCAUGUGCAUAUACUGAAUCUGUUUAAUCUCAAGAAAAAUGUACUAUAUUGUAUAUUUUUAAACUUGGAAUGAAUAGA